GGGGAUGUAGUUAAAAAUAACAUUUAAUUUGCAAUUAAAAAGUAUCAACUUGAUCUUCCUCA
RNAcentral lists this transfer RNA (62 nucleotides) under Lygus hesperus (lygus bug). RNAcentral describes it as "tRNA-Ala". It matches the Rfam family "tRNA". From Rfam's summary of the family: Transfer RNA (tRNA) molecules are approximately 80 nucleotides in length. Their secondary structure includes four short double-helical elements and three loops (D, anti-codon, and T loops). Lineage: Eukaryota; Metazoa; Arthropoda; Insecta; Hemiptera; Miridae. The record is from RNAcentral. RNAcentral also lists the same sequence under 2 other names.